GACGAACGCUGGCGGCGUGCCUAAUACAUGCAAGUCGAGCGAACGGACGAGAACUUUGUUUUCUUGAUGUUUGCCGCGCGCGUGAGUGUAACAUGUGUAACAUCCACCUACACGUCUGGUAUAAAUUCGGGAAACUGGCGAUUAUCCCGGAUAAUAUUUUGAUGCGUAUGGUUCAAAAGUGAAAGACGGUCUUGUUGCUACUAAUAGAUGCUUCCUCGCUUAAUCAGCUUGUUGGUAGGGUAACGGCUUACCAAGGCAAUGAUGCAUAGCCGACCUGGGGGGGUAUUCGGCCACCCUGGAACUGAGACCGGGUCCAAACUCCUACGGGGGGCACAAGAAGGGAAUCUUCGGCAAGGGGGGAAAGCCUGACGGAGCAAGGCGGCGUGAGUAAGGAAGGUUUCCGGAUCGUAAGACUCUGUUAAUGGGGAGGAACAGUUGUGUAAUUAACUGUGCACAUCGUGACGGUACCUAAUCAGAAAGCCACGGCUAACUACGUG
This 497-nucleotide ribosomal RNA is filed under the name uncultured bacterium. RNAcentral describes it as "partial 16S ribosomal RNA". It matches the Rfam family "Bacterial small subunit ribosomal RNA", at positions 28 to 507 of the family's 1533-position model. The record is from RNAcentral.